UUAAUUUUGUCUUUUAAUCAUGCUAAUUGUCGUCAUGUCUGCAUUAUCAACCAUAAAACCCAAAUAAAACCAAUAUUUUUAAUGUGGCUACAUUUGACUAUAAGCAAACAAAUAAAAGGAGAGAAGACUAUCAAACAGAGUUUGUGUCAUCUUUUAGAGUGACACGCAGCGGUGCUAGCAGCUAGCUAGCCAGCUGUCACUAGCUAAGUGCCUGCACACUGAGGAAGUAUUUAUUCAGGCAUCGUGGGCUGCAACUCACCAAGAGGAGGAUUGCUUGUGUUGAUGGUGAGGUUUAACGCCAUACUGUGCAAUCCUUCUUCCACACAGGUGGUGAAGCCUUAUUUCUGUUUAGGAGACCCAACAGGCGUCAGCAGGCAACCAAGACUACUCUCCACAACAAGCACACCAGAGGUACCAGAGCAGGCGUGAGGAGAAAGGGCCUGGACGACAGCAAGGCACCUUUGUCUCAGUCAGAUGGAGCAAGAGCUCUUUGGAAGAACUGGACAAAGAAAAGCGCCUGUCACAGCAGUUCAGCAGGGACGUCACAUUGGAGGACUUUCAAAUUUUUGUCUCAGUCAUCCACCCAGGAGCAGAGGAGGAUGUAGGAACCCUCCUCCCAUUCCUGAUCAGCCAGCUGCUGAAAACCUUUGAGGCAUUCAGAUAACCAAGAGUCCACUCCCUGCAGGGGAAAAAAACAGCAGAGCUCUUGGAGCAUGAGAAGAGCACAGCGCUCCAAAUCCUUCCAACUGAUGGACUACAAUGAAAGCUGUUUCACUACAACAGAGAGUGUCGCCUGUGCUUCAGUUUCGUUGAUGAGUUCUUGCUUCUGUGGUUAUACUGAGGAGUGAAUCGCAAUGAAAUCUGCAUAAUAAGCAUAUUAAGGUAAUCAAAUCAAAAUAUUCAUUUAAAUUUUAAGAAUUUCCUCUGCAUUUGUUUACAUGUUUUUUGUUUUACACAGACGUCAUGCUAAAUAAAUAUUUAAGUUCUCAAGCAGCUGGACAUACUGUAUGUGUGUGUACAUACAUUAAUCCCAGCCCUUUGCUGCAAAUGCUCAGUGCUUGCUUGAAUACAAAUGUUGACAAUGUGUUAAUAAAUUGAUCUAAUC
Molecule: long non-coding RNA, 1105 nt
Organism: Micropterus dolomieu (smallmouth bass)
Lineage: Eukaryota; Metazoa; Chordata; Actinopteri; Centrarchiformes; Centrarchidae
Exons: 3
Source: RefSeq, a predicted model, not a curated record